AUCGCCCCCGCGUGGCUUGUCCGGUGCCGGUUCUCCCCGCAGCUGAUUCCUCCCCGUUCACUCCUGUUCUAAAAAGGAAGCCUGGCUGUGGGCCUAGGAGGCGAUGGCGGGUGCGGUGGGCCUGGGUCCCUGGGCCUGUGGGUCACACCUCCUGCCUGGGGGUGGACAGAAGACACAGGAUCCUCAGGUGGCUACAGGAUGACUGUAGAACCAGAGACUAGGGAUCUGCAGUGGCCGAUCAGGAGUACCAGACCCGGGGAUUAGGGAUGUAUUUGAGACCAUUGUGACAGGGAUUGGAGAAGAUCUGGCAUUGCUACGGUUUGGAUUAGACACGGAUGACACCAGCGCCAGUGACUAAACAGACCUCCUGAGACACCACGGUCUUGCUGUCCACCUGAGUUCUACCCAAGUGUCUCACCAUGUAACACCAGCUACAGACACCCAGCCAACCUCAGGGCAAAGUGUUUUCUCUCUGGCCUUCCUGGACUUGCUGUGUGAGCCUGGUUAGGUUGAUGGCCGGCUCUCAGUGAUACUCCUAGCUGUGGUGUAGAUUGUUGAGGCCUCUGUGUCUAGGGUCUAGCAGCUGGCCUCUGCGUUGUGGCCAUAGUCCUGUGGCCCUCACUGUGCUGUUCAUGCAUGUGUCUCUGGUGAUGCUAUCUCUUUCCUACGGUGACUCCGUACUGCUGGGCUAAAUUGUAAGCUUCUAGUGGCCAAUUACAAUUACAGUGGGUAUUCCUGGCACAGACCUGUCUCGGGAUAAAGCCUUCCUGUCAUUAGAGAAUGUUCUACUCGGA
This 794-nucleotide long non-coding RNA is filed under the name Rattus norvegicus (Norway rat). RNAcentral describes it as "long non-coding RNA NONRATT011668". Lineage: Eukaryota; Metazoa; Chordata; Mammalia; Rodentia; Muridae. The record is from RNAcentral.